RNAcentral lists this long non-coding RNA (989 nucleotides) under Felis catus (domestic cat). Its description in RNAcentral is "lncRNA (ENSFCAG00000046097.2)". Lineage: Eukaryota; Metazoa; Chordata; Mammalia; Carnivora; Felidae. The record is from RNAcentral.
AUCGUGUGUAUGAGAACUCAGUUCUUAUAAUGGGAACCUGGGCCAAUUAACAUCACCCUCAACAUGGCGCUUCAUCUGAUGAAAGCCAUUUCACGCCCAGGAGAAGAGUAAAAGAAACACAAGAACAGCUGCAGCAGUCAGAGCUCACCUUCGGACACCAGAUGGCUCUUGGUGAGAAGGUGACUCAGGACAACUGGAGACUUUAGCCGAUCCAGAAGCUGGUGUCACUCCCAUGAGUCACAACAACAAGCACUCUACCAAAAAUGCCAAGAAGGACCAGGAAAAUGCUGGGGCCAUUUUCAGUUGCUCUUUUGCAGAUCCAGAUUUUGCUCCGGUGAUUGACAACAAAACUGACUCUACCACAAGGACCAAGAAGGACAAGGCCAUUAUGUAUGCAAGAGGGCCUGGUCCUUUCCUAGGUUUGCCUUGCAAGCUGUACCCCAUGGAUCACCCUUCAUCACCAGUCAUGGGCUAUGGGCUACCUCCAGCUCCUCCAAGUACUCAAUUUGGUAAGAUGACCUGAACUGGAUGAGUGACUGAUAAAGCGUAUUCAUCUUCUUCGUGAAAGACUUUGUGGGAAUGACGUAGAGAUGGUUGUGAGGGCUUGGCAAUUCAACUGCAAACCUGCCUGAGGACAGUGUAAUAUAAAUCCAAGGUUUCUCAGGACAUAGGUACAAUGGGCUUUGCCAUUUCCCUGAAAUGAGGUGAAGUAUAGGUUUCUCUUGUCAAAAAGAAAGAGGAUUUUUACACAAUGGUAGACGUAUCAGCAGUACUGGUGUGUAUUUUACAGACACAAUGUUGUGGGUUCUGUGACAGAUGAGAUGCACCCCUAACUUUAGGUGCCUCAGGUGCCCUGUGUGAAAUGGGGCACAUGCAUUAUAUGACACAGAACUUGUUGUCACCAUAAUGGAAGCAGCAGGGAAGGAAUGGGGGAAACUCGAAUCACACAGGAAUAGAAAGUAAGUUGUGGGUGGCAAGCAGAGUUUGAG